AGAGUUUGAUCCUGGCUUAGGAUGAACGCUGGCGGCGUGCAUAACACAUUCAAGUCGAACGGUGAAGUUCCUCGGGAACGGAGCAGUGGCGGACGGGUGAGUAACGCGUGAGCAACCUGCCGUACAGAGGGGGAUAACACAGGGAAACUUGUGCUAAUACCGCAUGAGACAGUAAUCCCGCAUGAGAUAGCUGUCAAAGAGAAAUCGCUGUACGAUGGGCUCACGUAUGAUCAGACAGUUGGCAGGGUAACGGCCUACCAAAUCAACGAUCAUUAGCCGAACUGAGAGGUUGAACGGCCACAUUGGAACUGAGAAACGGUCCAGACUCCUACGGGAGGCAGCAGUGGGGAAUAUUGGGCAAUGGGCGAAAGCCCUGACCCAGCGACGCCGCGUGAGGGAAGAAGGUCUUCGGAUUGUAAACCUCUUUCGGCAGGGAAGAAGGAAGUGACGGUACCUGCAGAAGAAGUCACGGCUAACUACGUGCCAGCAGCCGC
This 494-nucleotide ribosomal RNA is filed under the name uncultured bacterium. RNAcentral's name for it is "bacterial SSU rRNA". It matches the Rfam family "Bacterial small subunit ribosomal RNA", at positions 8 to 518 of the family's 1533-position model. The record is from RNAcentral.